GACGAACGCUGGCGGCGUGCUUAACACAUGCAAGUCGAACGGAAAGGCCCUGCUUUUGUGGGGUGCUCGAGUGGCGAACGGGUGAGUAACACGUGAGUAACCUGCCCUUGACUUUGGGAUAACUUCAGGAAACUGGGGCUAAUACCGGAUAGGAGCUCCUGCUGCAUGGUGGGGGUUGGAAAGUUUCGGCGGCUGGGGAUGGACUCGCGGCUUAUCAGCUUGAUGGUGGGGUAGUGGUUUACCAAGGCUUUGACGGGUAGCCGGCCUGAGAGGGUGACCGGCCACAUUGGGACUGAGGUGCGGCCCAGACUGCUACGGGAGGCAGCAGUGGGAGAUAGUGCACGAUGGGCGGAAGCCUGAUGCAGCAACGCCGCGUGGGGGAUGACGGCCUUCGGGUUGUAACCCGCUUUCGCCUGUGACGAAGCGUGAGUGACGGUAAUGGGUAAAGAAGCACCGGCUAACUACGUG
Molecule: ribosomal RNA, 468 nt
Filed under: uncultured bacterium
Lineage: Bacteria
Description: partial 16S ribosomal RNA
Rfam family: Bacterial small subunit ribosomal RNA
Source: RNAcentral